Molecule: small nuclear RNA, 103 nt
Organism: Fukomys damarensis (Damara mole-rat)
Lineage: Eukaryota; Metazoa; Chordata; Mammalia; Rodentia; Bathyergidae
Source: Ensembl
GUGCUCACUUUGGCAGCAUGCAUCCUAAAAUCUGAUACAGGGAAGAUUAGUGUGGCCCCUGCACAAGGAUGACAUGCAAAUUCAUGAAGCAUUCCAUAUUUCU